RNAcentral lists this ribosomal RNA (253 nucleotides) under uncultured bacterium. RNAcentral describes it as "partial 16S ribosomal RNA". It matches the Rfam family "Bacterial small subunit ribosomal RNA", at positions 524 to 776 of the family's 1533-position model. The record is from RNAcentral.
UACAGAGGGGGCAAGCGUUAUUCGGAAUUAUUGGGCGUAAAGGGCGCGUAGGCGGCCUGGCAAGUGACGGGUGAAAGCCCUCGGCUCAACCGAGGAACUGCCUGUCAUACUGCCGGGCUUGAGUCCGGGAGAGGUGAGUGGAAUUCCCAGUGUAGCGGUGAAAUGCGUAGAUAUUGGGAGGAACACCAGUGGCGAAGGCGGCUCACUGGACCGGAACUGACGCUGAGACGCGAAAGCGUGGGGAGCGAACAGG